Molecule: long non-coding RNA, 453 nt
Organism: Nematostella vectensis (starlet sea anemone)
Lineage: Eukaryota; Metazoa; Cnidaria; Anthozoa; Actiniaria; Edwardsiidae
Exons: 3
Source: RefSeq, a predicted model, not a curated record
ACAGGCAUAUUCACUCGCAGGGGCGGAGCUAAUGUUUCUAUAUAUAGUGUCUAGAUUGGGUCAUGCUCACAUUGAAGACUAAGCGUUGAAUUGGACAGACUUGUAGUCUCAUCUCUGUACUAACUACUUAUCCUAGCUAUGGACGCCAAGAAAGUUCUACUCAUUGCUGUCAUUUCCUGCGUUCUCCUAUCUGUCUGCAUCGAGCAAACCACAGCCCAAGGGGGACUCCGGUGGGGAAGAGAGUUCGAGAACGAAUUCCAACAAUGGAAGGAUGCUCAUUACCCGAGUCGCGAAGAGAGACGAAGCUUCCAGAAGAAACGAUCGUUUAAAAUGGCAUAACCACCUUGGAAGAGUUAAUACCAGUCAGUGUUCACACGAGAAGAGAAACAUAUAAUAACAUUUAUUUUGUAGAAUAAACUAACUCCACCCAAUAAAGUCGAAUCAUCUCAGCAA